GACAGGUUUUGCCUUUAAAUGCGACGAAUGACCUGAGUUCACACUCAGCUGAAAACAGCAGCCAGCGGAAGAACAAGCAGUUGGCUUUCGAGAACACAGACGCUGCCAACAAAUCUGUUGCUGAUAUGAAUCCUCAGGAGGCAGAAACCCAUCUCAUCUUCACUCCAACAACUGCAAGAACCUUCGCUGACUUAGCAAGGUUGUUUGAACCAGCUGUAGAUGCAACGAAAGCAGCAGCAUAACUAAGC
Long non-coding RNA from Microcebus murinus (gray mouse lemur), 248 nucleotides. The record is from Ensembl. NCBI's taxonomy places the organism in Eukaryota, Metazoa, Chordata, Mammalia, Primates, Cheirogaleidae.